CCUUUUUUUUUUUUUUUUUUUUUUUUGUCUUUUUGAGACAGGGUCUCGCUAUGCAGUUCAGGCUGGCCUUGAGCUCACUUUGUAGCCCAGGCUGGUCUUGAACUCGCAAUGAUCCUCCUGCCUCAGCCUCCCGAGUUCUGGGAUUACAGGCAUGAGCCACCAUGCCCAGCUUCUCUUUCCCUUUUUUAUUCCGUCUAGGCUACAAGUCUUUUGGUUGGUGCCGCCCACAUCUGAGGAAGAAGCAGCACCACAUAUAAUGUUGUGGCCUCCCUCAGAGCCUUGCCCAGCCCUGCAAGGUACCUCAUGAUGUUAUGACUGAGUUCUCAAAAGCCCAUUCCACUGGUUCUCUCAGGUCGACUGCUUCAGGAUGAGGGCAAAGACGCAUGGCCACUUUGUUUGUGAGCCCAUUGCAUGAUGACAGAGGUGGUUGCGGAGGACAUUGACUGAGAACCACAGGAUCACAAGGACUGCGCCAGGAAGCCACAGCUUCAGACUGCACAGAGAAGGCAGUGUGGGGUGAGCGAGGACCAGACAGAGGAGCUCCAGUCUUUGCUUUCACCUUGGACAUCAUCUCCUGGCUCCUAGCACAGACUCUUCAACUUCUGCCUCGGAUCUUCCAGCCUUGUGGCAUAGACCCUUCAGCUCUCCAUUGUAGACACAGACCCAGUGACCUCCUGAGGUGGACUUACAUGGGACACUGCAGUGAAAUCCAGACCUUGGACUGAAACCUUCAGUCCCCAGUGUGCAGACACCCUCUGCACACUUCCCCAUCCAACUCUGUGGCUGACCAUCCUGAACCAAUCUUGCAUUUUCUUAUACAUUUGCAAACUAGCAUUAUAUCUGCUUCUCUAGUAAAACAUUAAUACAGUUGUCCAUUUUUAUCAUUCUGUGCAAUCUGUUUAUAAAUGUGCUACCUUUGAUUUCAUUAAAGAUACCCAGAAGGUAGAGAUUCUGUCUAUAGCAAGAGCUAGAUUAAGAAAUGGAGAAAAUUUGCAUUAGAACAUUAUAUGUGCAUAUGCAUGUGUGUGUGUUGGUCAUAUUGAAAAUAUGUUUGUACUUAAACAUAAACUUAUUAAAUAACUGCCAUCUAUUUACAUAAUUCACCCACAAGAGGGGCAAUAAAAAUCAUAUACCUUUAAUACUCUUUAAAUUCAGAAGCAAAAUAUUUGGAUAUUCUACAAUGGAUAGAGGUAGCCAAUAUUUCUGAUAAACAGAGAGCCCAGUGCCAAG
Cavia porcellus (domestic guinea pig) is the source of this 1230-nucleotide long non-coding RNA. RefSeq lists it as uncharacterized. NCBI's taxonomy places the organism in Eukaryota, Metazoa, Chordata, Mammalia, Rodentia, Caviidae. The transcript has 5 exons. The record is from RefSeq and is a predicted model, not a curated record.